RNAcentral lists this ribosomal RNA (447 nucleotides) under uncultured bacterium. RNAcentral's name for it is "partial 16S ribosomal RNA". It matches the Rfam family "Bacterial small subunit ribosomal RNA", at positions 29 to 523 of the family's 1533-position model. The record is from RNAcentral.
AACGAACGCUGGCGGCAGGCCUAACACAUGCAAGUCGAACGCCCCGCAAGGGGAGUGGCAGACGGGUGAGUAACGCGUGGGAACCUUCCCAAUGGUACGGAAUAGCUCAGGGAAACUUGGGGUAAUACCGUAUAUUCCCGUGAGGGGAAAGAUUUAUCGCCAUUGGAUGGGCCCGCGUCGGAUUAGCUAGUUGGUGAGGUAACGGCUCACCAAGGCGACGAUCCGUAGCUGGUUUGAGAGAAUGACCAGCCACACUGGGACUGAGACACGGCCCAGACUCCUACGGGAGGCAGCAGUGGGGAAUAUUGGACAAUGGGCGCAAGCCUGAUCCAGCCAUGCCGCGUGAGUGACGAAGGCCUUAGGGUUGUAAAGCUCUUUUGCCGGGGAAGAUAAUGACGGUACCCGGAGAAUAAGUCCCGGCUAACUUCGUGCCAGCAGCCGCCGUAA